RNAcentral lists this ribosomal RNA (433 nucleotides) under uncultured bacterium. RNAcentral's name for it is "partial 16S ribosomal RNA". It matches the Rfam family "Bacterial small subunit ribosomal RNA", at positions 29 to 507 of the family's 1533-position model. The record is from RNAcentral.
AACGAACGCUGGCGGCAUGCCUAACACAUGCAAGUCGAACGAGACCUUCGGGUCUAGUGGCGCACGGGUGCGUAACGCGUGGGAACCUGCCCUUAGGUUCGGAAUAACUCCCCGAAAGGGGUGCUAAUACCGGAUAAUGUCUUCGGACCAAAGAUUUAUCGCCUUUGGAUGGGCCCGCGUUGGAUUAGCUAGUUGGUAGGGUAAAAGCCUACCAAGGCGACGAUCCAUAGCUGGUCGGAGAGGAUGAUCAGCCACACUGGCGCUGCGACCCGGCCCAGACUGGGACGGGAGGGAGGAGUGGGGAAUAUUGGAGGAUGGGCGAAGGCCUGAUCCAGCCAUGCGGGGUGAGUGAGGAAGGCCUUAGGGUUGUAAAGCUCUUUGACCCGGGAUGAUAAUGACGGUACCGGGUGAAUAAGCUCCGGCUAACUCCGUG